UCUUCACCCUCCCCUGUCUACCCUCCAAGAGUUACAAACUGUUUGAGCCAGGACAAAGGGCACCCUAAGAAGCAGAGGAAAAGCAGUUUUAUUAUUUUGAGGGAAGUUAUCAAAAUCAAUUUUCAUAAAAGUCCUGGUUUAUAUAUUACAAUGAUAGUGCAUAUUUUUUAUUUCAUUGGGCUUUAAGUGCAGCAGAAAUAGGGGGGCGCUAAGGAUCCCACAAGUGUGUUUUACAAACUUUGAAACUGGGUUAAGGGGUUGCUUUCUUUUCUGCCCUUUGCUGCAAAGGGUGGGGCAGAAACAAGUUUGUUAUCCAGCCUUUGGAUAAAUGAGUGUUUGCAAUGAUUUAACAUGACUCGAAAGCAAUUUGUUUCUAAAUCCUCUUAUUAUUGCUGCGUGCCUAGAGCUUUGAGGGAAGUUUUUUUUCUUUUUUCUUUUUUUUAGAAUUGGAAAAAAAAAUUAAUUCAUCAAUAACCAGGCUCCACCAGGAUUGAACUAGAUGCUUGUUCCUGGCACUUGUCAUUCCCAGCAAUCACAGCCCCUAGAGCAAAUACAAAAGGCCCAAAUUGCGUUGCAUCUUUUAUGGAAGUGCCCAACGUGGAAAUUAUAGAUUUUAACGAAGGAACAAGAAAACUGAUGAAACAAGUUCAAAAGAAAGGAGAAAAAUGGAUAAGAACUUAAAAGUAUCUUCAAAUUUCUAAAGACAUAAUCAAACAAAGAUGAUUGUGGCAGCAUAUUUACUACUGUCUACUCCCCAAGGCAAAAACAAACAACAACAACAAAAACCAGAAGUUUCUGAAGGACAGCAGAAAUGGGAAGUUCUUUCCAUGAUGCAAGGCAAUCAAUGGAAAGUGACCUUCUUUUGUGAGCUACACCUAGGUAGCCCCAGUCAUGUGAAAUCACUGAUGGUAGCAACGGAUAAAGAUGCUGGAAGGGGAAACUGA
Molecule: long non-coding RNA, 944 nt
Filed under: Callithrix jacchus (white-tufted-ear marmoset)
Lineage: Eukaryota; Metazoa; Chordata; Mammalia; Primates; Cebidae
Description: lncRNA (ENSCJAG00000084734.1)
Source: RNAcentral